GUUGGGUAGGGGAGCGUUCUGUAAGCCUGCGAAGGUGUACUGUGAGGUAUGCUGGAGGUAUCAGAAGUGCGAAUGCUGACAUAAGUAACGAUAAUGCGGGUGAAAAACCCGCACGCCGGAAGACCAAGGGUUCCUGUCCAACGUUAAUCGGGGCAGGGUGAGUCGACCCCUAAGGCGAGGCUGAAAAGCGUAGUCGAUGGGAAACGGGUUAAUAUUCCCGUACUGGUGGUAACUGCGAUGGGGGAACGGAGAAGGCUAGGUUGUCCGGGCGACGGUCGUCCCGGUUCAAGCAGGUAGGCAGAGUGAUUAGGCAAAUCCGGUCACUUAAUGCUGAGAUGUGAUGACGAACCACUAAGGUGGUGAAGCAAUUGAUGCCCCGCUUCCAGGAAAAGCCUCUAAGCUUCAGGUUACCAACAAUCGUACCCCAAACCGACACAGGUGGUCAGGUAGAGAAUACUCAGGCGCUUGAGAGAACUCGGGUGAAGGAACUAGGCAAAAUGGUGCCGUAACUUCGGGAGAAGGCACGCUGGCGGUAGGUAAAGUCCCUCGCGGACGGCGCUGAAGCCAGUCGAAGAUACCAGCUGGCUGCAACUGUUUAUUAAAAACACAGCACUGUGCAAACACGAAAGUGGACGUAUACGGUGUGACGCCUGCCCGGUGCUGGAAGGUUAAUUGAUGGGGUUAGCCGUAAGGCGAAGCUCCUGAUCGAAGCCCCAGUAAACGGCGGCCGUAACUAUAACGGUCCUAAGGUAGCGAAAUUCCUUGUCGGGUAAGUUCCGACCUGCACGAAUGGCGUAAUGAUGGCCAGGCUGUCUCCACCCGAGACUCAGUGAAAUUGAACUCGCUGUGAAGAUGCAGUGUACCCGCGGCAAGACGGAAAGACCCCGUGAACCUUUACUAUAGCUUGACACUGAACAUUGAGCCUUGAUGUGUAGGAUAGGUGGGAGGCUUUGAAGUGUGGACGCCAGUCUGCAUGGAGCCAACCUUGAAAUACCACCCUUUAACGUUUGAUGUUCUAACCUAGGCCCAUAAACUGGGUCGGGGACCGUGUCUGGUGGGUAGUUUGACUGGGGCGGUCUCCUCCUAAAGAGUAACGGAGGAGCACGAAGGUUGGCUAAGCAUGGUCGGACAUCAUGCGGUUAGUGCAAAGGCAUAAGCCAGCUUGACUGCGAGAGUGACGGCUCGAGCAGGUACGAAAGUAGGUCUUAGUGAUCCGGUGGUUCUGAAUGGAAGGGCCAUCGCUCAACGGAUAAAAGGUACUCCGGGGAUAACAGGCUGAUACCGCCCAAGAGUUCAUAUCGACGGCGGUGUUUGGCACCUCGAUGUCGGCUCAUCACAUCCUGGGGCUGAAGUAGGUCCCAAGGGUAUGGCUGUUCGCCAUUUAAAGUGGUACGCGAGCUGGGUUUAGAACGUCGUGAGACAGUUCGGUCCCUAUCUGCCGUGGGCGUUGGAAGAUUGAGAGGGGUUGCUCCUAGUACGAGAGGACCGGAGUGAACGCACCACUGGUGUUCGGGUUGUCAUGCCAAUGGCAUUGCCCGGUAGCUAAGUGCGGAAGAGAUAACCGCUGAAAGCAUCUAAGCGGGAAACUUGCCUCGAGAUGAGUCUUCCCUGUCGCUUUAAGCGACCUAAAGGAACGUUUAAGACUAAGACGUUGAUAGGCUGGGUGUGUAAGCGUAGCGAUACGUUGAGCUAACCAGUACUAAUGAACCGUGAGGCUUAACCUGACAACACCGAAAGUGUUUUG
Molecule: ribosomal RNA, 1744 nt
Filed under: Proteus mirabilis
Lineage: Bacteria; Pseudomonadati; Pseudomonadota; Gammaproteobacteria; Enterobacterales; Morganellaceae
Description: bacterial LSU rRNA
Rfam family: Bacterial large subunit ribosomal RNA
Source: RNAcentral